Molecule: small nuclear RNA, 141 nt
Organism: Suncus etruscus (white-toothed pygmy shrew)
Lineage: Eukaryota; Metazoa; Chordata; Mammalia; Eulipotyphla; Soricidae
Product: U4 spliceosomal RNA
Exons: 1
Source: RefSeq, a predicted model, not a curated record
AGCUUUGCGCAGUGGCAGUAUCGUAGCCAGUGAGGGUUAUAUGAGGCGCGAUUAUUGCUCAUUGAAAACUUUUCCCAAUACCCCGCUGUGACGACUAGAAAUAUACUCGGCAUUGGCAAUUUUUGACAGUCUCUAUGGAGA